GCAGCUCGCGUAGUGGCUGUUCGGUUUCAUAGACGGUCCUUUUCUUUUCCUACCACCCCCGCCUCCUCCUCCUCUCCCUCGGAGGCUGGUUCUGCUGCUCAUGACGUGCCUCUCUCGCUGAGCUCCCAGCCCUCCCGCCUUCCAGCUCACUCCCUGCUGCUGCAGCUUAUUACUAUUUGCUUUUUCCCCUCCCCACCACCGCUUUCCGAGGAGGGGGACGGGUUUUUUUUUGCCCCCUUACACCUAGAGAAGAGAGGGGGGGGGGAGAAACCGAGGGAAUCAAGGCGCUGCAUUGUUCCACCCCGCCUCCAUUUAUUUUCUUUUUGUAAUUUUUUUUUUAUUGCAAAGGAGGCUCGGAGCAGCCUUUGAUUGUCCUCGCCCGAUGAACCUCUCCUCGGCCAGCGACACGUCUUGACUCCGGAUUACUCAGGGGGGAGAAAAAAAAGAGAACAAGAAUGCACAUUAAGUACAUUGGAUCUACAGUAGCAUGAACUGAAUGCUGUUGGAUGAAUGGAAAAACAGUCAUGAUAUUGUAAUAUCACAGCAAAGAGAAUCACCAGUAUCCAACAAGCAUCUGAACAGAGAUAACACAAUCUAGGACAUUAACUGGAGACAGGGUAA
Molecule: non-coding RNA, 621 nt
Organism: Thamnophis sirtalis
Lineage: Eukaryota; Metazoa; Chordata; Lepidosauria; Squamata; Natricidae
Source: RefSeq, a predicted model, not a curated record